CCUACGGGCGGCUGCAGUGAGGAAUAUUGGUCGAUGGACGGAAGUCUGAACCAGCCAUGCCGCGUGCAGGAAGACGGCUCUAUGAGUUGUAAACUGCUUUUGUACAAGGGUAAACCUGAAUACGUGUAUUCAGCUGACAGUACUGUACGAAUAAGGAUCGGCUAACUCCGUGCCAGCAGCCGCGGUAAUACGGAGGAUCCAAGCGUUAUCCGGAUUUAUUGGGUUUAGAGGGUGCGUAGGCGGAGUGAUAAGUUAGAGGUGAAAUGUCCGAGCUUAACUCGGGAACUGCCUCUAAUACUGUUGAUCUAGAGAGUAGAUGCGGUAGGCGGAAUGUAUGGUGUAGCUGUGAAAUGCUUAGAGAUCAUACAGAACACCGAUUGCGAAGGCAGCUUACCAAUCUAUAUCUGACGUUGAGGCACGAAAGCGUGGGGAGCAAACAGGAUUAGAUACCCGAGUAGUC
Molecule: ribosomal RNA, 460 nt
Filed under: uncultured bacterium
Lineage: Bacteria
Description: partial 16S ribosomal RNA
Rfam family: Bacterial small subunit ribosomal RNA
Source: RNAcentral